Long non-coding RNA from Apodemus sylvaticus (European woodmouse), 1011 nucleotides. RefSeq lists it as uncharacterized. The record is from RefSeq and is a predicted model, not a curated record. NCBI's taxonomy places the organism in Eukaryota, Metazoa, Chordata, Mammalia, Rodentia, Muridae. The transcript has 5 exons.
CAUUGGGGACCCUAUGCUCAGUCUAUUGCUUGGCUGUGAGCUAUGGGAGGAGCUAGAGAAAGAACCCAAGGAGCUGAAGAAGUUUGCAGCUCCAUAGGAGGAACACCAAUAUGAACCAACCAGACCCCCUCAGAGCUCCCAGGGAUUAAACCACCAACAAAAGUGUACACAUGGCUCCAGCUGCAUAUGUAGCAGAGGAUGACCAUUUCAGACAUCAGUGAGAAGAGACCAUUGGUCCUGUGAAGGCUCCAUGCCCCAGUGUAGGGCAAUGCCAGGUUUCUCUGUGUAGCACUGGCUGUCCUGGAACUUACUCUGUAGACCAGGCUGGCCUUGAAAACAGAAAUCCACAAGCCUCUGACCCACAAGUACAGGGAUUAAAGGCAUGCACCACCACUGGCUGGCUUUUGGAUAUUUCUCACAAGGAUCAAAUUGACCAUACUAGGAACCUGGAGAGAGGUUUCUCAGAAAUGAAGCACUAAGGUAUAUUCUGAACAGGGGAAGGAUUUCAGAUACUUACAACUCCCUACCAUGGUGGAAGUCAUCUGCAGUUUUAAAAAAGAAAGCAUUGUCACAAUUGGCCCACAUCAUAUAUGUCAUCACUAUCUGGCUUUCUCUGGAAGAUUUAGGGAGCAAUAGAUUUAUGCCCUAUGGUGCUGAAAAUGACACAGGUCAGCUUCUAAGACAUGAGUCCUAAACCUACUGAUAGAUCCACCCGAGGGUCCUUCAUGAUUGCUUUAACUCCAAAGGACUAUGUAAAAUGACCAGCUACAGCGGGGAGUCUUCGGACUUUUCACAUGAAUGCCUUCAAGCAUCCGUGGUGACAUCUUAAUUUACUUAUGUAGGGGUAAUGUGACCACUUCUGGGGACUUUGCCACUUGAACAAGAUGAGAAAUUCUGUUACCUGGUUUGACUUCAACCUUCAAUCAUGAGUCAUUGGACAUUUACCCAGAAAAGAAACCACAUUCAUAUGGUCACUUGAUAUUUGACAAAGAAGCUAAAAAUAUCCAGUGG